AAUAUGUUUGCUUCUCCUAUUUACUAUAUGUUUUUAAUUGUAAAUAUGAAAAAUUUUAAAAAUUUCUGACAGAUGAUCACGCGGAAUAACAUAAGCAUACAUAUAAAUAAAAUUAUUUAAAAUUUUAUUUACAGGAAGUAAAGCAAGAAACUCACCGAACGAUUCAGAAACAGAAACAAGAAGAUAAAAGAGAUCCAUAUAAGAUGUAUUCCUCGACUACUAAACAAAGUUUACCUGCGCUCGCCAUGCCGUCUUUGUCAUCUCUUUGUUGCUCCACAAGUCUUUUCAACUACAUCAAACCCACCGGCAGAAUACAUACCGGCUCCGUCCGCGCCGGUAGGAAAUGUUCCGGUAUCAUCCACUCUGGGACGAUACGUACCGGCCUCGUAUUUACCAGUAAGAUACGUACCGGCUUCACACACGCCAGCAAGAUAUGUUAUACCGGCUUCACACACGCCAGCAGGAUACGUUAUACCAGCUUCCCACACGCCGACAGGAUACAUACCGGUAUCGUCUUGGCCGGCCGGAUACAUACAGUUUUUCAAAUAAAUUUACGAUUAUAAGUAUAGUAUUAUCUGUUAUAUCAGAAGGUUAUCGUCGCUUUCUUCAUUAUUAAUGCCAACUAUUAUAACAUAUAUAACAUAUAUUCGUGAAUCAUGUCGAUCACUGAUUGUACGAAUAGAUUUGUACCGAGCACAAAUAAGCGAUUACAUUCAAGAUCUCCACGUUACAAUUGUAUUUAUCUUCCUUGAAACAUUUAUGCUAAAAGCAAGCUGAAGUUAAAAUAUAUCUGACAAUAAGUCGUGGGAGAUAUCCCGUUUUAAUCUCUGGAUUUGAGAGAGAGAUAUACGAAUUACAAAUCCUGAAUUCGUGCGAGCAGGAAUUUUAACAGAUUCUCUUUGUUUAAAUGGAAGUGAUUGACCACGCCAGGGAAGUCAUUGGAGACGACGUGAAAUACUACCGGGACAGACAUUGCAUUGAUUUGAACGGAUCCAAGCGUGUUAACCACAUUUUCUGUUAUACCGGCUGAUCGCCUGUAUCUAGCAUAAAUGCUACUGGUCCUCUGAAAGAGGCGGAUUGAAGCUCGAUGACGGGUAUGUCGCCGGUGUCGGACCGGAGAGCGUAUAAUGAAUAAUCCUCGAUGACACAUUCUAGUGGAAGGACGGGACAAACAUUCUCUGGCCUCGUACGGUCCCGCUGGCCGAGGUCUCGAAGCGAUUUACCGUUUGUGGAGAUGCAGAUUUUGCGAGCGCCGUCGAACGCGUUAGGCGUCGCAGGCUGAAUGGUUGCAGGAACGAUAGACGAGCCGGCAGGGGCGUCAUGCGGUAAGAUCCCCACGGGGCCCCGAGCACCACCUUUGAAUCUUUAAUCGCUUACAUAUAAACUACCGACGUACUAUCACGAAUUAAAACAAAUAAUUAACUAAUAUACGUAGUUCCCCCAAAUUGCGUGCCGAACAAUCGUUGGUCUUGAAACGCGCGCAACUCUAAUAAUAUGAAAAAACUAAAUCUGGAAAUAAUUAUUCUUAUUGCGAAAAAUAUUACCUCGGUCGGAAGUCGAAUCCAGAUACCUUGCUAUAGACUUUGUAUUCGAACUAAGAUGAUAAUGUCCAAAUUAGUUUAGUAUUUCUUACCUCACACUUUAAUAUAAUGUAUAGUUUGUA
Molecule: long non-coding RNA, 1663 nt
Organism: Cyphomyrmex costatus
Lineage: Eukaryota; Metazoa; Arthropoda; Insecta; Hymenoptera; Formicidae
Exons: 4
Source: RefSeq, a predicted model, not a curated record